CUGAAGCCUGGAAACAAACAGAGCCAGCAGAACAGAAGCUCAACAGUGUGUGGAUUAUGCCACAACAGUCUGCAGCGCUUGAAGAGCUAGCCCCUGACACCAUCCCCCCCAAAGAGAGUGGCGUUGCUUACUAUGUGGACCUGCAUGGACAUGCUUCCAAAAGGGGCUGCUUCAUGUACGGAAACAGCUUUAGUGAUGAGAGCACCCAGGUGGAAAACAUGCUGUAUCCAAAGCUCAUCUCCUUGAACUCAGCCCACUUCGACUUCCAGGGCUGCAAUUUCUCAGAGAAGAAUAUGUAUGCCCGAGACCGUAGAGAUGGCCAGUCUAAAGAGGGAAGCGGCCGUGUUGCAAUCUACAAAGCCUCAGGGAUAAUCCACAGCUACACACUUGAAUGCAACUACAACACUGGACGCUCAGUAAACAGCAUCCCUGCUGCCUGCCAUGACAAUGGGCGUGCCAGCCCCCCUCCCCCGCCGGCUUUCCCCUACAGAUACACUGUGGAACUAUUUGAGCAGGUGGGACGAGCUAUGGCCAUCGCAGCUCUGGACAUGGCGGAAUGUAAUCCAUGGCCCCGAAUUGUACUGUCAGAGCACAGCAGCCUUACUAAUCUACGGGCCUGGAUGCUGAAACAUGUACGCAACAGCCGAGGCCUAAGCAGCACUCUGAAUGUGGGUGUCGGCAAGAAGAGGGGCCCUCGAACUCCACCCAAAAGUCACAAUGGGUUGCCUGUUUCCUGCUCCGAAAACACCUUGAGCCGGGCACGAAGUUUUAGCACUGGCACAAGUGCUGGUGGUAGCAGCAGCAGCCAACAAAAUUCUCCACAGAUGAAGAAUUCCCCCAGCUUUCCUUUUCAUGGCAGUCGGCCUGCAGGGCUGCCAGGCCUGGGCUCUAGUACCCAAAAGGUCACCCACCGGGUGCUGGGCCCCGUCAGAGGUAAGCCAGUCUGGGAGCCCCUGCAACAUGUGUUUGGUUGUCUGGGGCACUGCUGGGGGAAGUAAGAGCUUGAAGAUAUACUCUUGGCCCAGGACCAAGGGGUGAAUCAAUAAAAUUAGUUUGUAGCAGAAAAAAAAAAAAAAA
RNA transcript from Rhinopithecus roxellana (golden snub-nosed monkey), 1077 nucleotides. It is a transcript of the gene named cytosolic carboxypeptidase-like protein 5 pseudogene, with no coding region annotated. Lineage: Eukaryota; Metazoa; Chordata; Mammalia; Primates; Cercopithecidae. The transcript has a single exon. The record is from RefSeq and is a predicted model, not a curated record.